UGUAAGCGUAUACCAAAGUUGUUGCAGUUAAAACGCUCGUAGUCGGAAUUUGGCAGUUCCGGAUGUGUGCACGUCGUGUGCGCACUUCGCGGGGAUUGCUUUUGUGGUCUUGCGUAGGAUGAGGCACUUUUAUUAGUGAACGUCCUCACGCAACCACUUUUUACUGUGAGAAAAUCAGAGUGCUCAAAGCAGGCAUUUGCCGUGAAUGUAUUAGCAUGGAAUAAUAGAAUAGGACUUGGUUCUAUUUUGUUGGUUUGUUGGGACUGAUUAAUGAUUAAGAGGGACAGUUGGGGGCAUUUGUAUUUCGGUGCUAGAGGUGAAAUUCUUAGAUUACCGAAAGACAAACUGCUGCGAAAGCGUCUGCCAAGGAUGUUUUCAUUGA
Molecule: ribosomal RNA, 382 nt
Filed under: uncultured eukaryote
Lineage: Eukaryota
Description: partial 18S ribosomal RNA
Rfam family: Eukaryotic small subunit ribosomal RNA
Source: RNAcentral